GAGAAUAUUCCAUUGAAAUAAGUUUAUAUGCGAAGUAAAAUCAGACAUUUGUACAUGAUAAGGUUUGGCAAAAUUUAUACAUAAAAAUAAGAAUUUAAAAACCUAGAGGUAGUAUACAUGUAUAGAAAGGAAACGUAAAACAUUUUGGGGCAGAUUCUAGAACAUGAAGUGGGCAGCUAAAGUUCCUUAGCUGGUGAACUCUCAGCCUUGUCAGUAAUAAUCUCGGGAGAGUAAUCAGCAGAGAUAUUAUGCACUUCUCACAGGGUUUGAUGCCUCUUCUCUGGAGAAGCUCCCAGUAGAGUGUAUGGAAAAUGAGCAGCUAGCAACGGCCUAGGCAAGGGCAAAACCAUCAGUUGAAUAAGGAGCAUGGAUUGGAGCAGAAUUUAGUUGACUUCGCCCUGGAUAAUCUUUUCAACUUCAGACAUGGUAGUCCUCAGUGUAGGAGAUGGGCUAGGAAAUUAUUAGCAGUUUUAAGUGAAAGCAGCUCAAUUGUGCUCACCAAAUCAAGUGGGUAAACAAAGGUUCACUACGUGGUUCUUGCUAUUCUAGUGAUGACUUGUGUUUUCUCUCCUUCAUUAAGCUUAGCAAACCCAAAAUCAGAUCUCUUUGCAUUGAAAUCCUUGUCAAGAAGAAUGUUAGUUGUCUUGAUAUCCCUAUGAACAACUUUUAGCAUGCAAUCGUCAUGAAGAUAAACCAAUCCCUUCGCCAUUCUAUGGGAAAUUUUAACUCUAGUUGUCCAAUUAAGUUUACAUCUCAGCUCCUCCGAACCUGUUCAUUGUACAACAUAUGAGUUACCAUUUUGUUAUUAGUUUCAAAGAAUUUUCAUGCAGAAGCCAAGUGAAGGUAGCUUUUAUAUGCCGGAAACUGAAAAACCCUCCAGGCAAUGACUCAAUAUCUUUCCGUUCUGCAUCAAAACAUAAAUGAAACAAGUAAGGAAUGUGUCAAAACAAUGAAGUAUGUCAGCGGAUCAUGAGCUGAGAUAUUUUGCAGGAUCAAUUUCAUCUCUGUUAGGUACAAGAAUUACUGAUCCAACAAGAGCAACUUUAGCCAAAGUCGACAAUAUCUUGAAAGGUUUUCUAGGUUUAGGAACAGAACCAAAAGAAACAAAACAAUGCAUGGCGUCAAUAUAUGUGGACAUGAGGAUAGGAACACUUGCUGUAACACAAUAAAGGAGGGAGAGAAACUACCAGGAUGUACUGAUAUAAGAGGUCCAGUUCAUCUUUGUGUCCUUAUUCCUAUAGUAACAAUCAGGCUAUAAGCAUAUAUAAGUACAGCCACUGAACAACUUUUUCUUUCCUUUUUUGUUUUUGGGUGGACGCAGAGGCAAUUACCUGAAUGAUCACAUCAAAAAGUCGCUUCCCUCUGAUUCUGUGACCUGCUUCUUCCUUCAUCGCUAUUUCAGCAAAAUGAAGGGUUAAGGAUAUUGAAGCAACGUGUGCUGUCCUAUACAAAACAGGAGCUCCAAAUGGUAUAUUGACUGUAUUAGUUCGUGAACAUUUGCAUCCAGUCAUUACGCUGUCAUACUACUGUAUCCCCAAUUGCUUUCAUCAUUUAUAUAGAAAGUUGAAGUUCCUUCUUCAUGUGUAUCAGGCUCAUAAGUAUCUCCUUGUAUUUCUAUCCUUUUACCACCAUAAUUUAUGAACAGAUCUGCAAUUAAAUUUGUUAUCAACAGUGUCUCGUGACUUACCCUUUUAUUGACCAUCGUCACAACUGAUAUCAUAAGCAAAAGCCCUUUUGAAAGAGAAAUUAGGUUAAAAGGCAUCCACAUAGAUAUAAUACUUGAAUCGUAAAAAAGUAAUAUAAGAUAAAGGUCAAUAAAAAAGAACACAUACAGAGAAAUUGAGCUACGACUUCUUUAGGUUUGCCUUACAAUCUGGAUGUGGGGUUCAGUUGUGAGGGUAAUUCUGUGAAAUUAUUCUUGGAGAAAUCUCGGUUGCAACCACACUGGUUUAGGAUUAAGACUAUUUUGAGUCCAAAGCAACAUAGUAAUGGAUGAGCAUUUGGAAAGAACAAUGUAAGCAAGUUUUGGGACAGCAAAGAGGCAAAAGCUGCUAAUACUCAUGAUGCCACAUAAAAUGUAAAAAUUUGUGAAGUUCUGGUAUGAGAACUGCUCCCAAGAAACUUACUUGACUCUAACCCACUAACCCGAAUGACAAAGAAAUAAAGAAACAGAGGAAGGAAAAGAGACUAGCAUAUUAGCUUCUGUUAAGUCUGCAACCCAUACAAGAAGCAAUCCAUUAAGCUUAUUUCCUGUCAGAUAUCUGAAUGGGUAAAUUUAAAAAAAAAUCAGCAGCAUGUAUAAAUUGAUCAUUUGAAAAAAAAAAGUAUUUAAUGUUUUUCAGGUGCAUAUAAACCAAAAAUUAAAAUUAAACAAUUUUAUUGAUACAAAAUUAAAAUUUAAUGAUAUGAAACUAACCCUAAAAUAUAAACUAUCUAAAUCCUGUUAUUCUGUUUUUAUUUUUCUAGGGGAAUAAAAAUUACACUUGAAUUAUGGCAGCCCAGUUAAUUAAAAUAAUGAAACUUUGUUAUAUUUCAAUAAUGAUUUUAAAUAGGAAAAAUUUUUAUAUAAAUUCAGUUUACCAAUAUACAAACAGAAGGAUGUACAAAAGGGGAGUAAUCGAGAUACCGCUAAAAUGUUGUCCAAGAGCAGAAAUUCUUACCUAGAUGAGAUAUUAUAUCAAGUUUAAAUCUGGAUCUAUCGAACUGGCAAAUUCCUCAUUAAUGAAAGAGCUCCUUAAGCAACCUUAGUGGACAAAAUGUUCAUAAAUAAAUAAAAAUAAUAAUUUUCAAACCUAAUAUAAUAAUUAAUUAAAAUAAGAAACCGAAAAACGAAAUUUUUUCAAAAUUAUAAAAUUUGGAGUUUAAAUUUUAAUUAAAGCCUGAUAAAUUAGAAAAUAAAGAAAAUAAAAUAAAACAGGACAUGAUUAGUGAGAGAGAAGGAUCAUAUUGAUACAACAUAAGAAUAAAUUGGUAGAUAUUACAUUCGUUUCUUUAUUAUUACCUGAUAUUUCUUUUUUGGCUGCUAUCUUAAGUAAAGUCCAAAAACAUGUGAACCAUCUUGUAAGCUCUCGUGAAGCAGCAAGUUAAUUCAUAAAAUCAGAGCACCUUGAGACUUGUGAGAGAGCAUCUACAUCUAAGAAUAACAUAUGAUAUAAACCUAUAUACCAAGAUGAAGCACACCAUUGCCACCACAUUUCUCCCCCUACUUUCCUCUCCAUAUCCUUCUUCUUUUAGCACAUCUUCUCCUCUAACCAUGCAUGUCCCAAACAUGUACUCCAAGCAUUUCCCUGAUUUUGAGAACUCGUUUAUUAAGAACCCUUCAAAUGGGUACUUGAAAAGUGAUAUAUAAUGCAUGAACAUCCAGUAAUUUGGAAUCCCAUGGUUGGAUAUGAAGUACCCAGAGAACAAAAAGAAAGAUCCCAUCACCCCUGAUAUCAUUGAAUUUCCAACGAUGAAAUUAGGUACUAGAGCACUGAUGCAUACCACAACUGAAUUGGCAGUGUAAAGAAUCAACCAGAUUAAGAGCAUGAAGUGGACGAAUGCUGUGAAAUUUGGAUUAAGGCCCACUAACCAGUAUAAUGGGAUAGAGAAUAAUAUGGCCAGAAUCAGUAGAAAUGGCAAGUAAACGAGCGCAUUAGCGACUGCAUAGGAUGAGACUCUGUAGCUCCCACAAGAGGUCUCCUUCAUUAGAAUUUCCCUUUCUUGCAAGAAGAUUGGUAGUGCUUCUGUUGUGCAAGAGAGCAAGAAUGUCAAUGUAAAAGCAAAUAGGCCUACCCUUUCUUCUGCUCCUGUCAAAUCAUCUUUAACAUUGGAAAAGAUGGAACCUAAAACAAGCCCAGAAAUCAACAUUUGAAUUGUCCUGCAUGCAAAGAGCUCCUUGGUUCGAAAAAUGUUCUUGGAAAACCUGUGGGUGAGGAUUACAAUCUCCUGAAAACUUGAAUUUGCAAAACCGUAGGGAAAAUCAAUACCAACUUUGAUAAUUUCCUCGUCGACAACUUUGGCUUGCUGAAAGAGCUGUUGAAGAGUGAACUUGCCACUUUUACUCUCACCGUCCUCUGCUUUCGUGGUCUGGAGUUGGGUCGAUACUGGAGUGCUUUCUGGCAGCUGCAGUUGUUGAAUGGCUUCAAUGGAUUCGAUAGCGAAUUCAACAACAUUGACAUGAAGAGGAAGCUGCAUCUCCAUUGUCCUCAAAUGAACUCCAAGCUGAUCCACCGUCCCAUGAUGUAAAACAGACCCAUUAGCUAUCAGAAGUAUUGAAUUAAACAACUUCACAAUGCGAAACCCAGGCUGGUGAAUGCUUAAUAUUAUGGUUCUACCCCUUGUUUCCGCCAUAACCUUAAGCAUGUCAAUAAUCUGUAAAGCAGAUGUACUAUCAAGACCAGAGGUUGGCUCAUCAAGAAUUAAAACUUUAGGGUCAUGUAUGACAUCAACUCCUAUCGAAACUCGACGCCUUUCUCCACCGGAAAUCCCUCGAACCCUUUCAUCACCCACACGAGUCAUGGCUACAUGAUCCAGGCCUAGUUCUUGAACCAAGGACUUGACCCUAGAUCGCAGUUGAGCUUGAGGAAGCCGCAGACGGAGCUUGGCACUAAACAUGAGGGUUUCUUCCACUGUGAGGAGAGGAAAGAGGGUAUCUCUCUGUGUUACAUAGCCUGAUAUCUUCUUGAACUGAGCUCUAUCGACAGGAUUUUGAUUGACAAAAAUGGAACCAUUUUGUGGGGUAAGUUUUCCGGCGAGGACUUCAAGCAAGGAUGAUUUUCCAGCUCCACUUGGACCAACAACGGCGAGGAUUUCCCAUGGCUUGGCUUUGCAAUAUACGCCUUUGAGAACAUGCUUUUCUUGAAGAUUCGGUUCGAGUUCUUGAUCAAUUUGUUGAUCUUUGUUGAAGAUUUUAAAAGGGUAGUUUCUUUUCUUGGUGGAAAUCUUGUAGGUGAUCCUUCUAGCUUCAAUCUCACAACCUUGUUUCUUCAUUGAAGAAGCCUUAUUUGUUACCAAUGGUUUUUGGCUACCUUGGUUUAUUUGGUGGUUCUAUCUCAAGUCUAACCAGUCCAUUAGCUUACUCUCUUACUAAUAAGGAAACAACAUUUUUUGUGCUUUUGUCCUCCUCUCCUCUGCUAAAUAAACAAGAAAAUAAAUUCAAAAUUGUAAAACAA
This 5153-nucleotide unclassified non-coding RNA is filed under the name Hevea brasiliensis (rubber tree). The record is from RNAcentral. Lineage: Eukaryota; Viridiplantae; Streptophyta; Magnoliopsida; Malpighiales; Euphorbiaceae.